This 253-nucleotide ribosomal RNA is filed under the name uncultured bacterium. RNAcentral's name for it is "partial 16S ribosomal RNA". It matches the Rfam family "Archaeal small subunit ribosomal RNA", at positions 474 to 727 of the family's 1478-position model. The record is from RNAcentral.
UACCAGCACCCCGAGUGGUCGGGACGAUUAUUGGGCCUAAAGCAUCCGUAGCCGGCCUUACAAGUCCUCCGUUAAAUCCAGCUGCUUAACAGAUGGGCUGCGGAGGAUACUAUAGAGCUAGGAGGCGGGAGAGGCAAGCGGUACUUAGUGGGUAGGGGUAAAAUCCGUUGAUCCAUUGAAGACCACCAGUGGCGAAGGCGGCUUGCCAGAACGCACUAGACGGUGAGGGAUGAAAGCUGGGGGAGCAAACCGG